GGCUUAGAGUUUGAUCAUGGCUCAGGACGAACGCUGGCGGCGCGCCUAACACAUGCAAGUCGAACGGGGUUGAGAGGAGCUUGCUUUUCUUGACUUAGUGGCGAACGGGUGAGUAACGCGUGAGGAACCUGCCUCAAAGUGGGGGACAACAGUUGGAAACGACUGCUAAUACCGCAUAAGCCCACGGUACCGCAUGGUACUGAGGGAAAAGGAUUUAUUUGCUUUGAGAUGGCCUCGCGUCCGAUUAGCUAGUUGGUGAGGUAACGGCCCACCAAGGCGACGAUCGGUAGCCGGACUGAGAGGUUGAACGGCCACAUUGGGACUGAGACACGGCCCAGACUCCUACGGGUGGCAGCAGUGGGGAAUAUUGCACAAUGGGGGAAACCCUGAUGCAGCGACGCCGCGUGGAGGAAGAAGGUCUUCGGAUUGUAAACUCCUGUUGUUGGGGAAAAAGAGGAUGGUACCCAACAAGGAAGUGACGGCUAACUACGUGCCAGCAGCCGCGGUAAAACGUAGGUCACGAGCGUUGUCCGGAAUUACUGGGUGUAAAGGGAGCGCAGGCGGGUAGGCAAGUUGGGAGUGAAAUACAUGGGCUCAACCCAUGAACUGCUCUCAAAACUGUGUAUCUUGAGUAGUGCAGAGGUAGGCG
This 649-nucleotide ribosomal RNA is filed under the name uncultured organism. Its description in RNAcentral is "bacterial SSU rRNA". It matches the Rfam family "Bacterial small subunit ribosomal RNA", at positions 1 to 663 of the family's 1533-position model. The record is from RNAcentral.